AGCAGCCGCGGUAAUUCCAGCUCCAAUAGCGUAUAUUAAAGUUGUUGCAGUUAAAAAGCUCGUAGUUGAAUUUUAGGCCUGACCGGACGGUCCGUCUUUGGCGAGUACUGUUCUGUUGUCGGGUCUAUCCUUCUGGUGAGCCGGUAUGUCCUUUAUUGGGUGUGUCGGGGAACCAGGACCAUUACCUUGAAAAAUUAGAGUGUUUAAAGCGGGCUUUUGCUUGAAUAGAUUAGCAUGGAAUAAUAGAAUAGGACGUUGGUUCUAUUUUGUUGGUCUAGGACCACCGUAAUGAUUAAUAGGGAUAGUUGGGGGCAUUAGUAUUCAAUUGUCAGAGGUGAAAUUCUUGGAUUUAUUGAAGACUAACUACUGCGAAAGCAUUUGCCAAGGAUGUUUUCAUUAAUCAAGAACGAAAGUUAGGGGAUCGAAGACGAUCAGAUACCGUCGUAGUCU
Molecule: ribosomal RNA, 450 nt
Filed under: uncultured Archaeospora
Lineage: Eukaryota; Fungi; Glomeromycota; Glomeromycetes; Archaeosporales; Archaeosporaceae
Description: SSU rRNA
Rfam family: Eukaryotic small subunit ribosomal RNA
Source: RNAcentral